GACGUAGGGCGCGAGCGUUGUCCGGAUUUAUUGGGCGUAAAGAGCUCGUAGGCGGCUUGUCGCGUCGUCCGUGAAAACCCACGGCUUAACUGUGGGCUUGCGGUCGAUACGGGCAGGCUGGAGUUCGGUAGGGGAGACUGGAAUUCCUGGUGUAGCGGUGAAAUGCGCAGAUAUCAAGUGGAACACCAGUGGCGAAGGCGAGUCCCUGGACAACUCCUGACACUGAGGCACGAAAGCUAGGGGAGCAAACAGG
This 253-nucleotide ribosomal RNA is filed under the name uncultured bacterium. RNAcentral describes it as "partial 16S ribosomal RNA". It matches the Rfam family "Bacterial small subunit ribosomal RNA", at positions 524 to 776 of the family's 1533-position model. The record is from RNAcentral.